RNAcentral lists this ribosomal RNA (438 nucleotides) under Campylobacter jejuni. Its description in RNAcentral is "partial 23S ribosomal RNA". It matches the Rfam family "Bacterial large subunit ribosomal RNA", at positions 2490 to 2925 of the family's 2925-position model. Lineage: Bacteria; Pseudomonadati; Campylobacterota; Epsilonproteobacteria; Campylobacterales; Campylobacteraceae. The record is from RNAcentral.
CCCCAAGAGUCCACAUCGACGGGGAGGUUUGGCACCUCGAUGUCGGCUCAUCGCAUCCUGGGGCUGUAGUCGGUCCCAAGGGUUGGGCUGUUCGCCCAUUAAAGCGGUACGCGAGCUGGGUUCAGAACGUCGUGAGACAGUUCGGUCCCUAUCCGUCGCGGGCGUAGGAAAUUUGAGAGGAGCUGCCCUUAGUACGAGAGGACCGGGGUGGACGUACCUCUGGUGUAUCAGUUGUUCCGCCAGGAGCAUCGCUGAGUAGCUAUGUACGGAUGAGAUAAACGCUGAAAGCAUCUAAGUGUGAAACUCGCCUCGAGAUGAGAUUUCCCAUUCUUUAUGAAGUAAGACCCCUCAGAGAUGAUGAGGUAGAUAGGCUAGAAGUGGAAGUGCGGCGACGCAUGGAGCGGACUAGUACUAAUGGUUCGAGGACUUAACCAAGUU